GCAGCCGCGGUAAUACGGAGGGUGCAAGCGUUGCUCGGAAUUACUGGGCGUAAAGGGCGUGUAGGCGGUUUCGUAUGUCUGGCGUGAAAGCCCUGGGCUCAACCUGGGAAUUGCACUGGAUACUGGCAGGCUAGAGUGCGGUAGAGGAUGGCGGAAUUCCCGGUGUAGCAGUGAAAUGCGUAGAGAUCGGGAGGAACAUCUGUGGCGAAGGCGGCCAUCUGGACCAGCACUGACACUGAGGCACGAAAGCGUGGGGAGCAAA
RNAcentral lists this ribosomal RNA (262 nucleotides) under uncultured bacterium. RNAcentral describes it as "partial 16S ribosomal RNA". It matches the Rfam family "Bacterial small subunit ribosomal RNA", at positions 511 to 772 of the family's 1533-position model. The record is from RNAcentral.